CCUACGGGGGGCAGCAGUGAGGAAUAUUGGUCAAUGGGCGAGAGCCUGAACCAGCCAAGUCGCGUGAGGGAGUACUGCCCUAUGGGUUGUAAACCUCUUUUGUCGGGGAGCAAAAGCCGGACGUGUCCGUCUGUGAGAGUACCCGAAGAAAAAGCAUCGGCUAACUCCGUGCCAGCAGCCGCGGUAAUACGGAGGAUGCGAGCGUUAUCCGGAUUUAUUGGGUUUAAAGGGUGCGCAGGCGGAUUUUUAAGUCAGCGGUCAAAUCGUGGGGCUCAACCCCAUCCAGCCGUUGAAACUGGGGAUCUAGAGUGUGCGAGAGGUAUGCGGAAUGCGUGGUGUAGCGGUGAAAUGCAUAGAUAUCACGCAGAACCCCGAUUGCGAAGGCAGCAUACCGGUGCACAACUGACGCUCAGGCACGAAAGCGUGGGUAUCGAACAG
RNAcentral lists this ribosomal RNA (438 nucleotides) under uncultured bacterium. RNAcentral describes it as "bacterial SSU rRNA". It matches the Rfam family "Bacterial small subunit ribosomal RNA", at positions 338 to 775 of the family's 1533-position model. The record is from RNAcentral.